UAGGGAAUAUUGGUCAAUGGAUGCAAGUCUGAACCAGCCAUGCCGCGUGCAGGAAGAAGGCCUUCUGGGUUGUAAACUGCUUUUGCCAGGGGGUAAAAAGCCCAUGCGUGGGAAAUUGAAAGUACCUGGUGAAUAAGCCACGGCUAACUACGUGCCAGCAGCCGCGGUAAUACGUAGGUGGCAAGCGUUGUCCGGAUUUACUGGGUUUAAAGGGUGCGUAGGCGGCCUAGUAAGUCAGUGCUGAAAUACCCCGGCUUAACCGGGGGGGUGGCAUUGAUACUGCAGGGCUUGAGUACAGAUGAGGUAGGCGGAAUUGACGGUGUAGCGGUGAAAUGCAUAGAUAUCGUCAAGAACACCUAUAGCGAAGGCAGCUUACUAAGCUGUAACUGACGCUGAGGCACGAAAGUGUGGGGAUCAAACAGGAUUAGAUACCCUGGUAGUCCACACUGUAAACGUUGAUGACUCGCUGUUGGCGAUAGACAGCCAGCGG
This 490-nucleotide ribosomal RNA is filed under the name uncultured Bacteroidota bacterium. Its description in RNAcentral is "bacterial SSU rRNA". It matches the Rfam family "Bacterial small subunit ribosomal RNA", at positions 355 to 846 of the family's 1533-position model. The record is from RNAcentral. Lineage: Bacteria; Pseudomonadati; Bacteroidota.